Molecule: long non-coding RNA, 146 nt
Organism: Leopardus geoffroyi (Geoffroy's cat)
Lineage: Eukaryota; Metazoa; Chordata; Mammalia; Carnivora; Felidae
Exons: 3
Source: RefSeq, a predicted model, not a curated record
UCUCAUUAAGAUACAAUCUCCUAUGAAAAAUACUCCAGGGGCGCCUCGGUGCUCAGUCGGUUAAGCGGCCGACUUCAGCCAGGUCACGAUCACGCGGUCCGUGAGUUCGAGCCCCGCGUCAGGCUCUGGGCUGAUGGCUCAGAGCC